RNAcentral lists this ribosomal RNA (416 nucleotides) under Cetreliopsis asahinae. Its description in RNAcentral is "eukaryotic LSU rRNA". It matches the Rfam family "Eukaryotic large subunit ribosomal RNA", at positions 1 to 412 of the family's 3401-position model. The record is from RNAcentral. Lineage: Eukaryota; Fungi; Ascomycota; Lecanoromycetes; Lecanorales; Parmeliaceae.
AUUGACCUCGGAUCAGGUAGGGAUACCCGCUGAACUUAAGCAUAUCAAUAAGCGGAGGAAAAGAAACCAACAGGGAUUGCCUCAGUAACGGCGAGUGAAGCGGCAUCAGCUCAAAUUUGAAAUCUGGCCCUUUCGGGGUCCGAGUUGUAAUUUGUAGAGAGUGCUUCGGGUGAGACCGCGGUCUAAGUCCAUUGGAACAUGGCGUCAUAGAGGGUGAGAAUCCCGUAUGUGACUGUGGUUCGAACCCGUGUGAAGCCUCUUCGACGAGUCGAGUUGUUUGGGAAUGCAGCUCAAAAUGGGUGGUAAAUUUCAUCUAAAGCUAAAUACUGGCUGGAGACCGAUAGCGCACAAGUAGAGUGAUCGAAAGAUGAAAAGCACUUUGGAAAGAGAGUCAAACAGUACGUGAAAUUGUUGAA